Molecule: long non-coding RNA, 693 nt
Organism: Cyprinus carpio (common carp)
Lineage: Eukaryota; Metazoa; Chordata; Actinopteri; Cypriniformes; Cyprinidae
Source: Ensembl
CCCAAGAAGUGAUGCAUUCUUUUUGGCGGGACACUUGGCAGUUGGCACUUAAGUGAAUCCAAGCAUAACUCUAAAGCGAUCUGACGAAAAGCUACAAUCAGGAUGUUUGUGUUGUUUAGUUUAAUGAUCAUGCUGAUACUUGCCGUAGGUUCCUGUAAGGAAUAUAUGGAAGUGGAAGCAAUUAAGGGUGGAAAUGCUAGCCUACCAUUCACAACUGUUGGAUUGACGAUUUUCUGCGAAAUAGAUUGUCAAAAAAGGACUACGAUCACCAGGAUCGGUCGAUACUGUGGCACUGAUGAGAACUGCACCACCAACUUGAAUACACCUUUUUCAAUAGAGACUGGCAACCUAAUUGUAUGCAAUGUCACCUCGAACAGAUGCUUCAGUGCAGAAUUGAUACAGGGUACAGGAAACAUCAAGACAUUUUAUAAUGUUACUAUCAACAAAUUACUACACUCUACCAUCAGCGCAGAAAUAUCCACCACAACAUUCACUACAGAAACACCCGACUAUACUUCAACCGAUCCCUACAGCAACACUGCAUCAUUUAGUGUAUCCAGAUUUGUUGUUUUUGUUGUUGUUGUUGCUGUUGUUUUUGUUGUUGUUGUUGUUUUUGGUGUUGUGAUCUUGGUGGCCAUCCGUUUGCUCCCUGACCAGUACAAAUGUAAAGUAAGUAUUAUCACAAUAAUUUAA